This 1185-nucleotide long non-coding RNA is filed under the name Homo sapiens (human). RNAcentral's name for it is "HSALNT0053574". Lineage: Eukaryota; Metazoa; Chordata; Mammalia; Primates; Hominidae. The record is from RNAcentral.
UGCAUACUUAUUCAUAUUAUUAAUGCCUUUACUAUAAAUUUAAGCUUAUUUAAGCUCAAAAUUUUAUUAACCACUCUGCUCUGAAUUUAUUUUAGUUAAGGAUUAGAAGCAUCAAACAUUUUGCUGGAAAACAAAAUGACAUUUGGGGAAACAUUCUUUCCCCUUUUGCUGUUACUGAUAGCUUAUUAAUUCUGGCUGUAAUUUUUUUGUCUUUAUAUACAUUAAUCAAAAAGACAAAGAUGUUGUAUAAAAUAGUCAUGAAAAAGAUUGAGUAAAUAGUUUAUAGCUUUGUAGUAACUUCUGGGAUAGGACACUAAUAUAGCUGUCAGGAAACCUUGAUUUUAGUUUCCUAUGUACCUUCAGUUCGUUUUUCUUAAACAUUGGUAUAAAAAUAUGGAUGUAAAAGGAAGAAGGUAUUUUGUAGGGUAGUUGUAAGUUCCUGAAUGUGUGGAAUGAUUUAUGUGCAAACAUUGUCUUGCCUAAUGGAAAUAGUCAUAAUUGCCUAGUUUUCAUUAGUCUGAAAAAUGUCUUAAAGAAGUAUUGGGCUCAUCUUAAAUCAAGAGCAACAGAAGUCUCUUCAUCAGCUGCUGUUAGAACAUGAGUCUGCGCAGCCAUAGAGUAGGGAUCUGCAGACCCUGCAAGAACAGUUCCUGUCACUGGCCACUGUCAGUGGUCAUUAAUAAUUAUAACAAUAAAGAGUGUUACACCGUGCGCUCCAAAGGUAAUGUCUCAUUACUCUAAGGCUCUCUCUCUCUUUGCCUUUAUCUCUUUAAUUCUGUUGUUAUGUGCAUUGAAACAUUUUAAGAAAAAAAAAAACUUUCUGCUUUAUCUGUAUAGCAGCAGUACAUGUAAAACAAGUGCAUUUUAUUUUUCAUGGUUAAUCCUGGGAACUAUAUUUUAACUUCAGUGGCUUGUUUCCACCAAGUUCCUGUACAUCUUCUGGUGGGGGAGUGGGGUUAUUAGUUUAUAGUAUGGUUUUAGUUCUCAUUUCAGUGUGGAAUUAGUCAUUUCUGUAUAAGGGCAAAAGGUUCUCUGAUAAUGGUAUAAAACUAUAGAUUGUUUUUGGAGUAGCAGUGACACUUGUCAAUUUCUAAGAUUUAUAAGGCUUAAAUACCUUGCACACAUGUUUUUUAAAGUAGAUUCAGGGGUCGGGAAAACUGAAAAAUCACUGUCUUUAAGUACAAG